GAUGAACGCUGGCGGCAUGCCUAAUACAUGCAAGUCGAGCGAACAGACGAGGAGCUUGCUCCUCUGACGUUAGCGGCGGACGGGUGAGUAACACGUGGAUAACCUACCUAUAAGACUGGGAUAACUUCGGGAAACCGGAGCUAAUACCGGAUAAUAUAUUGAACCGCAUGGUUCAAUAGUGAAAGACGGUUUUGCUGUCACUUAUAGAUGGAUCCGCGCCGCAUUAGCUAGUUGGUAAGGUAACGGCUUACCAAGGCAACGAUGCGUAGCCGACCUGAGAGGGUGAUCGGUCACACUGGAACUGAGACACGGUCCAGACUCCUACGGGAGGCAGCAGUAGGGAAUCUUCCGCAAAGGGCGAAAGCCUGAUGGAGCAACGCCGCGUGAGUGAUGAAGGUCUUCGGAUCGUAAAACUCUGUUAGUAGGGAAGAACAAAAGUGUAAGUAACUAUGCACGUCUUGACGGUACCUACACAGAAAGCCACGGCUAACUACGUG
Molecule: ribosomal RNA, 497 nt
Filed under: uncultured bacterium
Lineage: Bacteria
Description: partial 16S ribosomal RNA
Rfam family: Bacterial small subunit ribosomal RNA
Source: RNAcentral